UACAGAGGUCCCAAGCGUUGUUCGGAUUCACUGGGCGUAAAGGGUGCGUAGGUGGCGCGCUAAGUCAGGUGUGAAAUUUCGGAGCUUAACUCCGAAACUGCAUUUGAUACUGGCGUGCUUGAGGACUGGAGAGGAGACUGGAAUUCAUGGUGUAGCAGUGAAAUGCGUAGAGAUCAUGAGGAAGACCAGUGGCGAAGGCGGGUCUCUGGACAGUUCCUGACACUGAGGCACGAAGGCCAGGGGAGCAAACGGG
Molecule: ribosomal RNA, 253 nt
Filed under: uncultured bacterium
Lineage: Bacteria
Description: partial 16S ribosomal RNA
Rfam family: Bacterial small subunit ribosomal RNA
Source: RNAcentral